AGUGAACGCUGGCGGUAGGCCUAACACAUGCCAGUCGAACGGCAGCACAGUAAGAGCUUGCUCUUACGGGUGGCGAGUGGCGGACGGGUGAGGAAUACAUCGGAAUCUACUUUUUCGUGGGGGAUAACGUAGGGAAACUUACGCUAAUACCGCAUACGACCUACGGGUGAAAGCAGGGGAUCUUCGGACCUUGCGCGAUUGAAUGAGCCGAUGUCGGAUUAGCUAGUUGGCGGGGUAAAGGCCCACCAAGGCGACGAUCCGUAGCUGGUCUGAGAGGAUGAUCAGCCACACUGGAACUCAGACACGGUCCAGACUCCUACGGGAGGCAGCAGUGGGGAAUAUUGGACAAUGGGCGCAAGCCUGAUCCAGCCAUACCGCGUGGGUGAAGAAGGCCUUCGGGUUGUAAAGCCCUUUUGUUGGGAAAGAAAAGCAGCAGGUUAAUACCCCGCUGUUCUGACGGUACCCAAAGAAUAAGCACCGGCUAACUUCGUG
Molecule: ribosomal RNA, 492 nt
Filed under: uncultured bacterium
Lineage: Bacteria
Description: partial 16S ribosomal RNA
Rfam family: Bacterial small subunit ribosomal RNA
Source: RNAcentral